GCCCCAAACUCAAUCUCUAGAUCGGGAUCUGGCGUUACAUCUGAGGCCGCCUAGCACGAACACCACAGCCAGAGGGCAGGCCGCCGCCGUUGUCCUGCUCGUCACCCGCCCCCGCCUCUCGUCCCCUACCACCGCUGCUUGCCGCUAUCCUGCACACCCAUCGGUCGAAGCAGAUUGCUGCCGGCCAGCGCCGAUGGUCAGCCUCCGCCGUGUGCCCCGCCUCGCCAUCUUCCCCGUCAAUCGCGAGCCCACCUCCCCAUGCGGAUAACCCUAGCAUCCUCGUUGUCGUGCCCGCCUUCCCCACCGACGAGAGACGCAAGACCUCUACCGCCACUGAUGACAUCUAGCACCUCCUUUUCUGAUGUCGUGAGGUGUGAAGUCCUCCAUGCCGUGGCCAUCCUAAUCGAGAUUUCAGACCCCAACUCUAGCAGCCGGUGCUGGAGAGAAAAAGAGGUGAGCAGGCUCUGCAGCAUACGGGGUGGCACCUUUGACAUCGCCAUCGGAUUCUCUCCUUCUGCUGCUUCGAUCCUGGGGCAGAUGCGAAGCGAGGACGGCGGAGGGAGGGCGGUGGAGGAGGAGGAGGGGGUCAAAGACCUCGAGCGGGGGCAUGGACUUGGCAGUGGAAGCGAGGCAGAACGCGGAGGGUGGGUUGACGAUGGAGCAGGAGGGGUUAAAUACCUCGCGCAAGCCCCGGGGGUUGUGCGGCGGCUGCUGCUUCGGCCGCUGAGGUUCGUCAUGGCUGCCUCCUCCUGCACCUGCACACCCACCAUCACCACCACUUAACUAGAUGGAGGUUACAUAGUAAUAUGCUCGUCUGCACCUUACUAACGAGGAGAGGUGGUGGCUGCCAACACUAUGUGUGACCAAACUCGGGCUAACGGAGUUGGCCCGAAGAGACCUGCGGCAAAAGAAUGACUGCGCAAACCAGAUCUAGAUGGCGAUUCCGGAGUCAUACACGCGGAUACUUCCCAAGUUUGGGCGGGCUGGGGUGGGCGACACAAUCUACAGGCACGUGUUGUUCCUGACAAAGUUCUUGUGGGAGUACCUGCUCAACAGCCUAGAGAUAUUGUCAUAGCACCUAGGCCCUGGAGGUCCCCGUGGAGCAACGUCAAUAACCUAAUAGGGUUGGACAAGACUUGACGGUGGUGAGUAGGGCUGAUGACAUCCUAUUCUGCCUUGAACAGCGGUUUCAUGGCCUCUCACAUACCACGCUUGACGCAAGCAAGAUACAAUACAAAUAAGAAUAGAAGGAGUUGAUGGGCAUGGUAUGAUCAGCGACACAAAGAGGAAUAUGCAUGCCAAUGCUUCCCUUGCCCGCUAUAGCCCCGCUAUAGCCUUUCCCGCACGAUGUGCCCGGCUAAAGGUGCCAAAGUCCUUAAAUAGCCGACUAUAGUCAGGCUAUAGCCGGGCUAUAGCUGUUUUGGUAGGCCACAGCUAUAACCUACGGCCGGCUAUUUAAAACCAUGCAAAAUAUAGCCAAAUUAAGGCUAAUGGAUGGUGGUGAGUAGGGCUGAUGACAUCAUGUUCUGCCUUGAGCAGCGGUUUCAUGGCCUCUCACAGACCACGCUAUACGCAAGCAAGAUACAAUACAAUAAGAAUAGAAGGAGUUGAUGGGCAUGGUAUGAUCAGCGACACAAAGAGGAAUAUGCAUGCCAAUGCUUCCCUUGGUUUACUACGACUCGCGCAUGACGCAGUGUGGUGCUGGCGAGGAGGACCAAGCAAGAAGUGGACUAUCAACCUUCGAGUUUCCUGUCAUCCUUGACAUCGAGAAGAUGUCACCCCAAGCCGUCUCUGCACUACAAGUGUACCAAUGAUCUUAUUGUGGCUAGGUGCUGAUCAAAAUGUACGGAGGGAUGUUUGGCUGGUUAUUUCAACAUGCAAUAGUUGGAGAGAUUUCGUCGGCAAUUACAUGAGGCGCCGAACAUCAUGAAUCUCAUUUCAGAUUUUCAGUCAUCUAAGCAUGACCAAAAGACUAGAUCGAUUUCCUUUGUACUAAAGGAGCCUCAUUCAAGGUCAAGAGCUAGCCAUGUGAUUCCAUCUAUCAUGCAAGCAAAGCAGCUAGAUCCAUAAUCAUGUAUGGUACAAGAUACCUGAUGGCUAGCUAAAGAUCACCUGAUGGAAUAAAGAGUUCCAACAUUAAAUAAACUGUGACUUACAUAUAGAUAAGUGGAGUGCUUUUGCAUUUUAUAUGUCCAUGCAGCUAUUUGCUUCAGUACAGUAUAAUAUUGUUUUCUGUAAAUAUUCACAAGUAGCACUCUUUUUUGUUUACCGCCCUAACCAUGCAUAUAUUAAUUACCCACUCUAACCCCAUCUUGUAAUACAGCGUAGAAGUUCUGAACCUUCUAUUUGGUGAAGAUUAGUUUAGCGCUGAGAUAUAACAUGUAUUUACCAAA
Molecule: non-coding RNA, 2393 nt
Organism: Lolium perenne
Lineage: Eukaryota; Viridiplantae; Streptophyta; Magnoliopsida; Poales; Poaceae
Source: RefSeq, a predicted model, not a curated record